Molecule: ribosomal RNA, 700 nt
Filed under: uncultured Caryophanales bacterium
Lineage: Bacteria; Bacillati; Bacillota; Bacilli; Caryophanales
Description: bacterial SSU rRNA
Rfam family: Bacterial small subunit ribosomal RNA
Source: RNAcentral
UUAUUACUUUUGCAUAAAGCCGCGUGAAGUGAGAAGGCCUUCGGAUCUGUAAAGCUCUGUUGUAAGGGAAGAACAGAGUAUUGGUAGUACAUGCCCGUACCUUGACGGUACCUUAUUAGAAAGCCACGGCUAACUACGUGCCAGCAGCCGCGGUAAUACGUAGGUGGCAGAGCGUUGUCCGGAAUUAUUGGGCGUAAAGCGCGCGCAGGCGGCCCCUUAAGUCUGAUGUGAAAGCCCCCGGCUCAACCGGGGAAGGUCAUUGGAAACUGAUAGGCUUGAGUACAGAAGAGGAAAGCGGAAUUCCACGUGUAGCGGUGAAAUGCGUAGAGAUGUGGAGGAACACCAGUGGCGAAGGCGGCUUUCUGGUCUGUAACUGACGCUGAGGCGCGAAAGCGUGGGGAGCAAACAGGAAUAGAUACCCUGGUAGUCCACGCCGUAAACGAUGAAUGGUAAGUGGUGGGGGGUUUUCCCCCGUUGCUGAUGGAGCAAAAGGAAUAACGCCUCCGGCGGGGGAGGGCCGCCGGAAAGCUGAAACUCAAAGGAAAUGGCCCGCACCCGCACCGGCGGAGGAUGUUGUGGUUUAAUUCGAAGCUACAACAAUAACCUUACCAGGUGUUGACCUCCCGGUGGUCCAGAUAGGAGAUAUAUCUUUUUCUUCGACAGACGAUGGCAUGGGUGUGCGUCAUGGCGUGUCCUCGAG